CGGACGGGUGAGUAAUGUCUGGGAAACUGCCUGGUGGAGGGGGAUAACUACUGGAAACGGUAGCUAAUACCGCAUAACGUCGCAAGACCAAAGAGGGGGACCUUAGGGCCUCUUGCCAUCGGAUGUGCCCAGAUGGGAUUAGCUAGUAGGUGGGGUAAAGGCUCACCUAGGCGACGAUCCCUAGCUGGUCUGAGAGGAUGACCAGCCACACUGGAACUGAGACACGGUCCAG
Molecule: ribosomal RNA, 232 nt
Filed under: uncultured bacterium
Lineage: Bacteria
Description: partial 16S ribosomal RNA
Rfam family: Bacterial small subunit ribosomal RNA
Source: RNAcentral